Molecule: non-coding RNA, 235 nt
Organism: Ceratotherium simum simum (southern white rhinoceros)
Lineage: Eukaryota; Metazoa; Chordata; Mammalia; Perissodactyla; Rhinocerotidae
Source: RefSeq, a predicted model, not a curated record
UCGCCCUGGCCCAGCUCCUCGUGGAGCAGAACUUCCCAGCCAUUGCCAUCCACCGUGGGAUGCCCCAGGAGCAGAGGCUUUCUCGGUAUCAGCAGUUUAAAGAUUUUCAGUGAUGAAUUCUUGUGGCAACCAACCUACUUGGCCGAAGCAAGGGCAUUGAACGGGAGAACAUUGCCUUUAACUAUGACAUACCUGAAGAUUCUGACACCUACCUGCAUCGGGUAAGCCCCACACC